Molecule: transfer RNA, 75 nt
Filed under: Acinetobacter baumannii 1195185_80
Lineage: Bacteria; Pseudomonadati; Pseudomonadota; Gammaproteobacteria; Moraxellales; Moraxellaceae
Description: tRNA-Gln
Rfam family: tRNA
About the family: Transfer RNA (tRNA) molecules are approximately 80 nucleotides in length. Their secondary structure includes four short double-helical elements and three loops (D, anti-codon, and T loops).
Source: RNAcentral
UGGGGCGUCGCCAAGUGGUAAGGCGGCGGUUUUUGACCCCCCCAUCCGUUGGUUCGAAUCCAGCCGCCCCUGCCA